UGCUGAAGUCAUGUCUUGACAGAGGAUAAAUUCAUGCUUAAAGGAAAUACGAACAUGGACAUUUAUUGAUGACAUUAUAUUACUUCCUGACUUGUCUGCUGGUGGUCACAGAGUAGACUGAAUUGAGUCCAGGAAAGAAAGUUGAAGUACAAAUUCCUUAUGAAGUGUUGUACAGCUAUUAUGAAAUAUGAAGUUCUUGAAAUUUCAUCUUCAGGAGGAAACCUUGGUACAUGUCAUAAAUAAAUAACAAUAAGAAAUUAAGGAGAAGAGUUAUAUAUAAGUGCACUUUGGUAGUACAUACAUGUUCAACUAAGAAACAAACUUA
RNAcentral lists this long non-coding RNA (325 nucleotides) under Numida meleagris (helmeted guineafowl). RNAcentral's name for it is "lncRNA (ENSNMEG00000018490.1)". Lineage: Eukaryota; Metazoa; Chordata; Aves; Galliformes; Numididae. The record is from RNAcentral.